GACGAACGCUGGCGGCGUGCUUAACACAUGCAAGUCGAACGGUGAAGCGCCUUCCUUUUUGGUGGGUGUGGAUGAGUGGCGAACGGGUGAGUAACACGUGAGUAACCUGCCCCCUUCUUCUGGAUAACCGCAUGAAAGUGUGGCUAAUACGGGAUAUUCUGGGUCUGUCGCAUGAUGGGUCUGGGAAAGAUAUUGUUUCGGUGGGGGAUGGGCUCGCGGCCUAUCAGCUUGUUGGUGGGGUGAUGGCCUACCAAGGCGGUGACGGGUAGCCGGCCUGAGAGGGUGGACGGUCACACUGGGACUGAGACACGGCCCAGACUCCUACGGGAGGCAGCAGUGGGGAAUAUUGCACAAUGGGCGCAAGCCUGAGGCAGCGACGCCGCGUGAGGGAUGGAGGCCUUCGGGUUGUGAACCUCUUUCGCCAGUGAAGCAGGCCUGCCUCGUUUGUGGGUGGGUUGACGGUAGCUGGAUAAGAAGCGCCGGCUAACUACGUG
Molecule: ribosomal RNA, 494 nt
Filed under: uncultured bacterium
Lineage: Bacteria
Description: partial 16S ribosomal RNA
Rfam family: Bacterial small subunit ribosomal RNA
Source: RNAcentral